This 260-nucleotide long non-coding RNA is filed under the name Carica papaya (papaya). RNAcentral describes it as "long non-coding RNA (CPAP_LNC016355)". The record is from RNAcentral. Lineage: Eukaryota; Viridiplantae; Streptophyta; Magnoliopsida; Brassicales; Caricaceae.
GUUGUGCCUUGACCAGAACGCCUAAGUAAGUACUGAGCUCAAACACAUAUAGCUGUUGUCUAAUCUCAAGACGAAGGCCCCACUCGGACUUCCUUGCCUUUCUACCUUCAUCCAUCAUGCUCUCAGGGGCAUAACGGCCCAACUCUAGGAACUUUCGAACAUACUCUAACACAGUUACAUCACCUUGGACCAGGUGUGCAAACUCCAUUUUCUUCAGAUGUCAUAGAUGCUCUGGGAGGUACUUUACACUGAAGGUCCUC